CCUUCACCCAGAAGGAGGAAGCAGGAGCAGCACCAUUCUCACUGCCAGAUCCCUGCACCACAUCAAGGCAUCAUCUUACCUAACUAGCCCCUGGC
This is a non-coding RNA of Chelonoidis abingdonii (Abingdon island giant tortoise), 95 nucleotides long. Lineage: Eukaryota; Metazoa; Chordata; Testudines; Testudinidae. The record is from RefSeq and is a predicted model, not a curated record.